Non-coding RNA from Physcomitrium patens, 3652 nucleotides. The record is from RefSeq and is a predicted model, not a curated record. Lineage: Eukaryota; Viridiplantae; Streptophyta; Bryopsida; Funariales; Funariaceae.
UUGUUGCAUUAUCUGCUGGCUUCUGAAGUUCAAUCGAGCUCACUGCUGCCAGGAUUUGUCCUGCAUUGCAUUCCGUUAUCGUGUUGCGGCUGCGUUUGGGUGGCGCCUGGUGGCGGUUAUAUUGUUGUGAGAAGUCUUUGGAGGCAGGGAGUAACAGAAAGAAUCGAUUCAGAUUCAUUGCUCCAUUUUACAUCACAUGCUUUUGUCGGUGGCUACUUGAAGCAUUGUGUCUGUGAGUUGGUGGAAGAUCUCUCGGAGUUCUAGAACCUGAGGCUGGAGAAGUGUGUUGAACCGUGAGCUGAUUUUAAGGAGCGAGAGCGAAAGAGAGGGCGAGGGCGUUUAUGGUUGUGAGGAUCUGAGAGGCGCGUGGAGUUUGAAGGGUUCUGGAACCCUAGAGCUGGGUUUUAGGGGAGGUUUGAGGUUGAAGGGGUUUAUUCGGGGUUUGAGUUUGAUCCUUACAUUUGAAUUAGUGUUUGGGAGCCUUUGAGGGAGAAAGAAGCAGGAACAGUUUGGAGCGUGGUGUGGCCGAAGGAGCACAGUUGCGAAGGGGUUGUUUGGAGUUGAGGUGGAGUGUGGUUGUGCUGUGCGGCGAUCUUGUUUUCAAGCAUGAGUGAAGUGGCAGGGAUGGGUUCCAAGAAUCCGAAAGUGUUCUUUGACAUCAGUAUUGGUGACGAGUUGGAAGGUCGGAUCGUAAUGGAGCUUUUCGCAGACGUUGUGCCCAGGACCGCGGAGAAUUUUCGCGCUCUCUGUACAGGCGAGAAAGGGAUUGGACCUGUCACGGGGCGUCCUAUGCAUUAUAAAGGCACCAUAUUUCAUAGAGUGAUCAAAUCCUUCAUGAUUCAAGGCGGUGACUUUGAGAAUGCAAAUGGAACUGGUGGCGAGUCCAUUUAUGGAAAGAAUUUUGAGGACGAAGUGUUUCUAAUGAAACAUGAACGGAAGGGUAUGCUAUCUAUGGCGAAUGCUGGACCUAACACUAAUGGAUCCCAGUUUUUCAUUACCACUACCCGAGCUCCACACCUCGACGGAAAGCAUGUGGUGUUCGGUAAGGUAUUGAAGGGCAUGGGAGUCGUGCGCUCCAUUGAGCACCAACCAACUGACUCUGCUAGCAACAAGCCCCUUGCUGACGUGCGUAUCGUGGACUGCGGCGAGUUGCCAGAAGGCGUUGAUGACGGAGUCGUGGGAUUCACCCAAGACGGGGAUAAGUAUCCAGAUUGGCCUUCAGACUUGGAUACGCAGCCUGCUGACGCAGCAUUUUGGGAGGCAGCAGUGGAUUCUGCCCGAGCCUUAGGCAAUGAAUUUUUUAAGAAAGGAGACUAUAAGACUGCACUAAGAAAGUAUCGUAAGGCUCUACGGUAUCUAGAUGUAUGUUGGGAGAAAGAGGAGCUCGAUGAAACAAGAAGUAAUUCGCUUCGCAAAACAAAAUCACUCAUAUUGACUAAUAGUGCUGCUUGCAAGUUGAAGCUUGAGGAUCCUCGAGGUGCAUUAACUGACUGUGAAUAUGCGAUGCAAACUGGAGUUGAUAAUGUUAAAGCUCUCUUCCGUCAAGGCCAGGCUUAUUUGGCGAUUGGUGAUAUAGAUUCCGCAUUGAUGAGCUUAACGAAAGCCUCUAAUAUCGAACCAAAUGACACUGGAAUUAAGAGAGAACUUGCAAUGGCUAGGAGGAAGAUCAAUGAGCGAAAUGAGAACGAGAAAAAGUCCUACGCUCGAAUGUUCAGCUAGAGAGGUUACAAUGUUUUUGACAGGGCUGCGAAUGGAAAUGCAGAUGGAAACGGCUUAAUUCGUAGUCGCGGAGUGUGCGCGCACGAGAUAUUUCUUAAAUUAAAUCAAGUUUAAGAAAGAGAUUGCAUAUUCGAUUUGGUGGCAUCUUCUUUUAGACGUUCUUAGGAGUGUGUCAUAGGUAGUACGCAAUUUAGUGAACACCAGUCAGGCAAGUACUGGAAUUUUGUUGGUUGCAUCACAACCGGGAACAGUCGGUAAUAUUCCCGACAUUUAAUCACCUUUGCACACUUAUCCACCAUGAGCAUCCAUUGCAAUGCACUUACCAGCCCCACAACCAAGCUGUGUGCGGUCCAGAUUGCAGCCCACCCACAUUAUAAUCACGUCGCAAAGUGUGGCCUCGCCUGCACCCUCAUCGUCGAGGUCACUGGUUAUCCAUCGUGACGUCAACACGCGCGAACUCAAGAGGCUGAUAAAGCUACAGUAACAUUGAUCACAAGCGGCCCAGGUACACGACAAUCGCCAAGUACAUGACGAUCGAAGGGCUGCAGUGCUAUGACUGCUGGUGUGCAGCAGAUAUGUAAGGUUACGAGGAGUACACUGAAUAUGAUUGCACUGGCAGGUCUCAAAUUUAGCCACCGUUGCCCCUUCAUCAAUGUCCUUUUGUCUGCCUUCAAGGAAAAUGAAGCAUUCAAGGACAUCCUACGAAAGAAAUAGGACAAAGCAAAAGAUGAAGAUCAGUAGGGAUGAAGAAAGCGGCUAUGAGAUAUUGAUUGAAAUUGGCAUUGUCGUUCAUCGGUUGCAGUGGCGCAUGUUGCCGCGGUUUGUUGUGCAAUGGUGACGCUAGUGAUGUGAGGAACUGGUUUAUGGAUUCUGAAGGUUUCUGGAUAGUGGGGUUUUGGGAUCAAGCGCUUAAGAUGGCUGAGAAAGAUCAUCAAGCAAGUUGAUUCUGAAGGAUCCAUCCCGGAGGAUGCAGCCAAGGACAGUGUCAUGGAAUUGGUGGAUUUAGGGGGGGGGGGGGCUCGCAAGUUUCUGAUCACUUCAGUCGUGAUAAGCUUGUUGUUUUUGAAAUUUACAGACUUUUAUAAUGUUUUUUCUAACCAUGUUUUGAAUUGGGUGUGGAUUUUUGAAAAUUCAGUUUCUGAACUUGUUCUGAAGUCGAGAGGACAUCUAAACGCCAACUAAAAUGGGACAAGCAGGAGGUCAGUCAUACUUUGAACAUUAGAGCUGCACUUCAGAGAUUGCCAAUUUUAGACGAAGAAUGUGCAUAUCCUGGCAGUGCAUAUCCAAAAUGCCAAUGGUCGGAUCAUUUAAACGUAGAGAAGGGCAAAUAUUUCGGUAGAGAAGGGCAAAUUUUUUGGGGCGGUGGCAAAGAUCGGAGAAAAUAAAUCAUGUAGACAUCCAGUAUCAUUGUCAUUAUAGACCAAGUGCUGCUCUGUCUUGAAUCAGAUGUGUUUUAGGGAUCGACGAUGGACUCGAGAUCAACAUAAGACAUUUCACCGUCUUGAAACCCAAACCUCUGGAAUGCGUGUCCCUUCUCGGACGUAACUGCCAGAAGUUGCCAUGGAUAAUAGUGACUAGCAUUUGCUACAUGACUGGCUGACUUCAAAAUCCUAGCCUCACUGUCACGAUCUUAACUCUUGAUGCUGCAUCAGUUUGGUUUUGGAAUUGACUGUAAUAACAUGGAUCUUCAUUCGAAGAUUUCCUGUUAGGUAUCUGUAGAGGGAACGUCGCCCUACCCUUAAUGAGAACUGACUUUUGUAGAUACUCUCAAAAUUUUCUGCAAUUUUCUCAGGGAUAGGCGCGCAAAUUGUUUGAGAUAGGAGGCCAUCAGAUGUCAGAACUGAAUUUAGUUCCUAGUGGCAAUUCAACAAGGCGGGAAACUGACAGUAAUAAUUUUGUUGAAACCUUGGCAAUGAAAGUGCAAUUACCCCCA